UACGUAGGGUGCAAGCGUUGUCCGGAAUUAUUGGGCGUAAAGAGCUUGUAGGGGGUUUGUCGCGUCUGCUGUGAAAUUUCGGGGCUCAACCCCGAACUUGCAGUGGGUACGGGCAGACUAGAGUGUGGUAGGGGAGACUGGAAUUCCUGGUGUAGCGGUGAAAUGCGCAGAUAUCAGGAGGAACACCGAUGGCGAAGGCAGGUCUCUGGGCCACUACUGACGCUGAGAAGCGAAAGCAUGGGGAGCGAACGGG
RNAcentral lists this ribosomal RNA (253 nucleotides) under uncultured bacterium. Its description in RNAcentral is "partial 16S ribosomal RNA". It matches the Rfam family "Bacterial small subunit ribosomal RNA", at positions 524 to 776 of the family's 1533-position model. The record is from RNAcentral.